UGGUUUUAGCUUAAUUAAAGUGUCUGAGUUGCAAUCAGAUGAUGUUGAUUAGAGUUCUGCAGGCCUUGGAGC
This 72-nucleotide transfer RNA is filed under the name Cnemaspis mcguirei. RNAcentral describes it as "partial tRNA-Ala". The stretch from base 2 to 65 matches the Rfam family "tRNA". From Rfam's summary of the family: Transfer RNA (tRNA) molecules are approximately 80 nucleotides in length. Their secondary structure includes four short double-helical elements and three loops (D, anti-codon, and T loops). Further hydrogen bonds mediate the characteristic L-shaped molecular structure. tRNAs have two regions of fundamental functional importance: the anti-codon, which is responsible for specific mRNA codon recognition, and the 3' end, to which the tRNAs corresponding amino acid is attached (by aminoacyl-tRNA synthetases). tRNAs cope with the degeneracy of the genetic code in two manners: having more than one tRNA (with a specific anti-codon) for a particular amino acid; and 'wobble' base-pairing, i.e. permitting non-standard base-pairing at the 3rd anti-codon position. Lineage: Eukaryota; Metazoa; Chordata; Lepidosauria; Squamata; Gekkonidae. The record is from RNAcentral.